RNAcentral lists this ribosomal RNA (253 nucleotides) under uncultured bacterium. Its description in RNAcentral is "partial 16S ribosomal RNA". It matches the Rfam family "Bacterial small subunit ribosomal RNA", at positions 524 to 776 of the family's 1533-position model. The record is from RNAcentral.
UACGUAGGGUGCGAGCGUUGUUCGGAAUCAUUGGGCGUAAAGCGCAUGUAGGCGGCUAAGUAAGUCUGAUGUGAAAUCCCGGGGCUCAACCCCGGAACUGCGUUGGAUACUGCUUAGCUAGAGGGUGAGAGAGGAGAGUGGAAUUCCUGGUGUAGGGGUGAAAUCCGUAGAUAUCAGGAGGAACAUCGGAGGCGAAGGCGGCUCUCUGGCUCAUUUCUGACGCUGAGAUGCGAAAGCGUGGGGAGCAAACAGG